This 2903-nucleotide ribosomal RNA is filed under the name Escherichia coli. RNAcentral's name for it is "bacterial LSU rRNA". It matches the Rfam family "Bacterial large subunit ribosomal RNA". Lineage: Bacteria; Pseudomonadati; Pseudomonadota; Gammaproteobacteria; Enterobacterales; Enterobacteriaceae. The record is from RNAcentral.
UUAAGCGACUAAGCGUACACGGUGGAUGCCCUGGCAGUCAGAGGCGAUGAAGGACGUGCUAAUCUGCGAUAAGCGUCGGUGAGGUGAUAUGAACCGUUAUAACCGGCGAUUUCCGAAUGGGGAAACCCAGUGUGUUUCGACACACUAUCAUUAACUGAAUCCAUAGGUUAAUGAGGCGAACCGGGGGAACUGAAACAUCUAAGUACCCCGAGGAAAAGAAAUCAACCGAGAUUCCCCCAGUAGCGGCGAGCGAACGGGGAGGAGCCCAGAGCCUGAAUCAGUGUGUGUGUUAGUGGAAGCGUCUGGAAAGGCGUGCGAUACAGGGUGACAGCCCCGUACACAAAAAUGCACAUAUUGUGAGCUCGAUGAGUAGGGCGGGACACGUGGUAUCCUGUCUGAAUAUGGGGGGACCAUCCUCCAAGGCUAAAUACUCCUGACUGACCGAUAGUGAACCAGUACCGUGAGGGAAAGGCGAAAAGAACCCCGGCGAGGGGAGUGAAAAAGAACCUGAAACCGUGUACGUACAAGCAGUGGGAGCCUCUUAAUGGGGUGACUGCGUACCUUUUGUAUAAUGGGUCAGCGACUUAUAUUCUGUAGCAAGGUUAACCGAAUAGGGGAGCCGAAGGGAAACCGAGUCUUAACUGGGCGUUAAGUUGCAGGGUAUAGACCCGAAACCCGGUGAUCUAGCCAUGGGCAGGUUGAAGGUUGGGUAACACUAACUGGAGGACCGAACCGACUAAUGUUGAAAAAUUAGCGGAUGACUUGUGGCUGGGGGUGAAAGGCCAAUCAAACCGGGAGAUAGCUGGUUCUCCCCGAAAGCUAUUUAGGUAGCGCCUCGUGAAUUCAUCUCCGGGGGUAGAGCACUGUUUCGGCAAGGGGGUCAUCCCGACUUACCAACCCGAUGCAAACUGCGAAUACCGGAGAAUGUUAUCACGGGAGACACACGGCGGGUGCUAACGUCCGUCGUGAAGAGGGAAACAACCCAGACCGCCAGCUAAGGUCCCAAAGUCAUGGUUAAGUGGGAAACGAUGUGGGAAGGCCCAGACAGCCAGGAUGUUGGCUUAGAAGCAGCCAUCAUUUAAAGAAAGCGUAAUAGCUCACUGGUCGAGUCGGCCUGCGCGGAAGAUGUAACGGGGCUAAACCAUGCACCGAAGCUGCGGCAGCGACGCUUAUGCGUUGUUGGGUAGGGGAGCGUUCUGUAAGCCUGUGAAGGUGGCCUGUGAGGGUUGCUGGAGGUAUCAGAAGUGCGAAUGCUGACAUAAGUAACGAUAAAGCGGGUGAAAAGCCCGCUCGCCGGAAGACCAAGGGUUCCUGUCCAACGUUAAUCGGGGCAGGGUGAGUCGACCCCUAAGGCGAGGCCGAAAGGCGUAGUCGAUGGGAAACAGGUUAAUAUUCCUGUACUUGGUGUUACUGCGAAGGGGGGACGGAGAAGGCUAUGUUGGCCGGGCGACGGUUGUCCCGGUUUAAGCGUGUAGGCUGGUUUUCCAGGCAAAUCCGGAAAAUCAAGGCUGAGGCGUGAUGACGAGGCACUACGGUGCUGAAGCGACAAAUGCCCUGCUUCCAGGAAAAGCCUCUAAGCAUCAGGUAACAUCAAAUCGUACCCCAAACCGACACAGGUGGUCAGGUAGAGAAUACCAAGGCGCUUGAGAGAACUCGGGUGAAGGAACUAGGCAAAAUGGUGCCGUAACUUCGGGAGAAGGCACGCUGAUAUGUAGGUGAAGCGACUUGCUCGUGGAGCUGAAAUCAGUCGAAGAUACCAGCUGGCUGCAACUGUUUAUUAAAAACACAGCACUGUGCAAACACGAAAGUGGACGUAUACGGUGUGACGCCUGCCCGGUGCCGGAAGGUUAAUUGAUGGGGUUAGCGGUAACGCGAAGCUCUUGAUCGAAGCCCCGGUAAACGGCGGCCGUAACUAUAACGGUCCUAAGGUAGCGAAAUUCCUUGUCGGGUAAGUUCCGACCUGCACGAAUGGCGUAAUGAUGGCCAGGCUGUCUCCACCCGAGACUCAGUGAAAUUGAACUCGCUGUGAAGAUGCAGUGUACCCGCGGCAAGACGGAAAGACCCCGUGAACCUUUACUAUAGCUUGACACUGAACAUUGAGCCUUGAUGUGUAGGAUAGGUGGGAGGCUUUGAAGUGUGGACGCCAGUCUGCAUGGAGCCGACCUUGAAAUACCACCCUUUAAUGUUUGAUGUUCUAACGUGGGCCCCUUACCGGGGUUGCGGACAGUGUCUGGUGGGUAGUUUGACUGGGGCGGUCUCCUCCUAAAGAGUAACGGAGGAGCACGAAGGUUGGCUAAUCCUGGUCGGACAUCAGGAGGUUAGUGCAAUGGCAUAAGCCAGCUUGACUGCGAGCGUGACGGCGCGAGCAGGUGCGAAAGCAGGUCAUAGUGAUCCGGUGGUUCUGAAUGGAAGGGCCAUCGCUCAACGGAUAAAAGGUACUCCGGGGAUAACAGGCUGAUACCGCCCAAGAGUUCAUAUCGACGGCGGUGUUUGGCACCUCGAUGUCGGCUCAUCACAUCCUGGGGCUGAAGUAGGUCCCAAGGGUAUGGCUGUUCGCCAUUUAAAGUGGUACGCGAGCUGGGUUUAGAACGUCGUGAGACAGUUCGGUCCCUAUCUGCCGUGGGCGCUGGAGAACUGAGGGGGGCUGCUCCUAGUACGAGAGGACCGGAGUGGACGCAUCACUGGUGUUCGGGUUGUCAUGCCAAUGGCACUGCCCGGUAGCUAAAUGCGGAAGAGAUAAGUGCUGAAAGCAUCUAAGCACGAAACUUGCCCCGAGAUGAGUUCUCCCUGAGACUUAGAGUCUCCUGAAGGAACGUUGAAGACGACGACGUUGAUAGGCCGGGUGUGUAAGCGCAGCGAUGCGUUGAGCUAACCGGUACUAAUGAACCGUGAGGCUUAACCUU